CGCAUCUCCCCCUCACUCUGUCGCCAUCCUGGCGCCUCUGGUUAAUGGAUUGUACACUUUCCCUUCAAAUACGACAGCAGCUGACGGUGUUCCCGACAUAUUUCUGUCAGAGUUACAGCGUAGAGUUACAGAUGAAGUCUACAGAAGUGGACCAAGGGCUAUUCACAGACUGCUACUGCAGAGUAUGCAGUGCUCAGCUCAUCUCCGAGUCCCAGAGGGUCGCUCAUUAUGAGAGUCGAAAGCAUGCCAAUAAAGUGCGGCUGUAUUAUAUGUUACAUCCUGUGGAUGGAGGAUGCCCUGCCAAGAAGCUCAGAACAGACAAUGGCAGUGACGAAGGUGACGUGGACAAGAAUAAAUGUUGCACGCUGUGUAACAUGUCCUUCACAUCAGCAGUGGUUGCACAGUCACACUACCAGGGUAAAAUUCAUGCCAAGAGGCUAAAACUGCUACUUGGGGAUCAGCCUGCCAUCACAACCAAAGAGGCAUCUCCCAGUCCUGUAAAGAGCUCUCCAGACACAUCUCCCGUAACCUCCCCACGACACCGACGUGACUCAGAUCGCUACUGCCAACUAUGCAAUGCUUGGUUCAACAACCCAGGAAUGGCCCAACAACAUUACGAUGGUAAAAAGCACAAGAAGAAUGCUGCCCGAGCAGACCUGCUUGAGCAACUGGGCAAGACUCUGGACAUGGGGGAUGUGAAAGGGUCGUGGGCGUGCUGGAGCCUAUCCCAGCUAUCUUCGGGCAGGAGGCGGAGUACACCCAGAACCGGUCGCCAGCCAAUCACAGAGCACACAGAAACAAACAACCAUUCGCACUCACAUUCACACCCUCGGGCAAUUCAGAGUCUUCAGUCAACCUACCAUACAAACUCCACACAGGCGGGGCCGGGAUUUGAACCCCGGUCCUCAGAACUGUGAGGCAGAUGUGCUAACCAGUAGCUCACCGUGACGGCUUCAUUUGACCAUCCAUUUCCAUUUUCACACCGCUUAUCCUGGUUAGGGUCGCGGGAUGCUGGAGCCUAUCCCAGCUGACUUCGGGCGAAAGGCGGACUACACCCUGAACUGGUCGCCAGUCAGUCGCAGGGCACAUAGACACGGACAACCAUUCGCACUCACAUUCACACCGUCAUUGAGUGGGAACUGAACCCACGCUGCCUGCACCAAAGUCAGGCGAGUGUACCGCUACACCAUCAGUGACUCUUCAUUUGACCAGUUAGAAUUUAAUUUAAACCACAUUUUGUUAUUGAAAUUCACCUGAAUCCACCUAACUGCUAGGAUCAGAAUAAUCCAGAUUUUUUGGGGAUCAAAGUUAUUUCAAUCCGAUGAAAAAGCUUUGAAAAACACAAAGUGAUGGUUUGAUCCACAUUAAAACCAAGAUUCCAUUACGUGAUCUAAUUUCAGAAUCCGUUUUUGGUUUUGAACAACCCAUUUUCAACAAUUGAUCCAAUCCAUUAUCCAAAACAAAUUCUGACCUGUGAAAGAAAAUGCUUUCAUUCCACAGCAAGAAAUAAAGGAAUCGAUUUCACUGUUCCACUAUGUUUGAGGGAAUGUACAUUUGGGUGUCAUUGUGUUCAAUGCAAUGUCUCACAUCAAUGUUUGUAUUGUAGGUUAAAACUGGUAAACAAGAUAUGCCAAUUUUGAACUCACAUCUAAAUGAAAUGCCAAGCGCUUCUUGGCUUGUAUGCAUUUACCCAGAAAAAUUUAGGAAUGUGCUUCUUAAAACGAGGUACAAGUAAUUUAUGAAUGAAUGAUGAAUGAAAGUAAAAUGAAGUAGAGGUCCAGGCCAUUCCUAAUACUGUAAUGUUUUUCACCUAAACAAUACAUGGCUGUCAUUGAGAGAGAAAAUAGCAACUUACAGUGUGUAACUCCAGCUCGUGAUCUCACUUCCAUCCAUUACCUUGGCUGAGAGAAGAGUGCUACAUUACUUCAUUGCUGUCGUCUGAGCAUCUUUUUUGGGAGUGUCCCCAAGGAUGAUUUCAGCCUGAGUACCACAGAAUGCUCCUUCACAGCUUUGCUUAACUUCUAAAAGAAAAUUCUUUCCCAAGAAAGUAAACUAGUUUUGUAAACCUAAUGGGAAAAAGAACUUGUGGUCCAGGCACAUUUUUCACUGAGAAUUAAAUAUCAUGUAAAAAUAUCUUAAUGAAGUAUGUACAAUGAACCAUAAGUAAUGCAGAAUUAAAAUGCCACAUUUACAAAUAUGAAACCUGAAUUUGUUGUAGAUGUAAUUUUUUUAGAUUAUAGAGAGACUGCUCAGGACACCAGAGAUAUGUUAAGAACAACAUUUUUCUCGACAGUCAAUACUGUGUGAAUACAAGGAUCGAAAUAUUAAUCAUCCAUUUUCUGCCUCCUAGCGUUUUUAAGGUCGCAGGUAAGCUGGAGUCUGUUCUAGCUGACUUUGGGCAAAAAAUGGGGUACACCCUGUCAAUCGCAAGGCACAUACAGACAAAACAUCGGUGACUAUCACAUUAAUACCUAUGGUCAGUGUAGAAUUUUCAGUUUAUCUAGCAUGUGUUUGGAAUGUAAGAGGAAGACAGAGUACCCAGAAAAACUCCACACAGAAAGGACUCACAGCCCCAUUAUCUAUUACAAUUGGAUUCUAAGCCACUAUUCCCAGAUACCCUGUUCUUUCCAACAAAACUGAGAACAUUUAAAAAACAAACAAAACAAAAACUACUCAUUACUCAUUCUUUGCAGGGCCAGUUCUAGGAAUGCAAACUUGAGAGGGCAGGCAGACAUGUUAAGGGGGCAUCAUGUGACAGCAUGUUUAUUUUAUUUUAUUAUUUACUGUCACGGCAGUUUUCACGCGUGGCUCUCACAUUCCGUCUUGCUGCAUUUUCGCCGGAUUCAAUAUGUAAAAUAGCGUCGCUCGUCGGUGACAAUUGAUCACUCUGAUUGGUUGUUAGCGAGCGAAUCAGCACAACAGCAAACAAGUGACAAAGAAAAAGGCACGAUAUGAUAAAACAAGCUAAGCUUGUUACAUAGGUGUUGAGGAACACAAAGUAUACAAGCAAUAAUGUGGGGGUCACGUACUCCCCCACAUGAAAACUCGGCUGCUGUGGUUGUAAUGGAAUCACAAAUGUGUGAUAAACUAUAUCCAGGUUUUGUAAGUAUUUCAUAGCUAUUCAAUUAAGAUAUUCUUCACUCAAAAUAUGUGGUUUAAAUUUACCCAAUUAAAGUGGCUGCUAAUUGUUACCCUAAAUUUAUUGGGUAAAUUCUAUAGGUUAUUCUUUACAGUGUGUCACAGGUGAUAUGGCAUGACUCCUUCUUGUAACUGUCAGCCCAUAGUUCAUUCAGUAGCUCCAUAAUUACCAUGCUGAAAAGACAAUAUGUCAAGAUGAAUUUUGUUUCAGGCAUUUCAGAAAUGUUCUCAUUCUUACGCUGGCACCGCUUUGCACCAGCCUUUCAAACGUGAUGCAAAAUGGGCCAUCUGAAUCGGUCUUAGGUUUGAUAAAUCAUAUUGCACCUGCUUAAUUCAGCUAUUUGCAUUUACUCCUCCCAAACCGUGCAAAAUGAGCAGUGCAUCACUUCUGCGGCCCUUGACAGACGCAAUCCUAGUUGCGCCCGGUUAGUAGAUCUGCCUCUACAUCUAUUUGUGUGAGCAAAAUAGUUUGCACAAACCUUUAGGAAAUCAGGCCCUCAAAGCUGUUCAGCCUAAAAUGAUUGAUUUUACAUUCACUGCAAAUGAAGUGAAAGAACUGCCUGUAAAGUGGAUGUACUGUGUUACUGUGUUUGUGAAUUUCCAGGUCUAAAACGAAGCUAUACCUGUGAAGUGUGCAGCAUGACAUUGAACUCGGUGGCACAGUACCACGCACAUCUGCAAGGCUCAAAGCACCAAAACAAUCUGAAGAAUCAGAUCUGUGACUAGUGAUCAAGAGACAAAUCAACUACACUGGAUUGAUGUCAGACAAGCUGUGGUCAGCUUGCCCUGCUUUUUUCUUCUGCCUCUCUCUGCAGACUGUCUUCAUUCCUGCAUCUGUCUUUCACCAUCAGUUUGGCCUGGCCUGGAAAUUAAAGGAUUUUUGGGAGGGUCUUUCUUACUGUAGCACUGCAUUAGCUAUGUCACCUCAGAGAUGGAGGUUGGGGGACUACAUUUUACAAAACAGUGAAAAAUUAUCUUUGCAUGUCUGGCCACUUGUAUUGAGCGUUGUCAUGACACCUCAGCUGUUUAAGCUGUUGAUUUUCUGCUGCUAGUCAAACACAAUUAAAAUCUGUUGGUUAAUGGCAGCGUUUCUACAUUACAUGCAUUACAAAGGUAUGCUAUACCACCAGUUGUUUUUAGUUAUUAAAUAUAUAUUAUUAUUUCGUUAUUUAUGUUUAUUAUUCUUAUUGUAUUUAUGAAGUUGUAUUUUUCAAGUUUAUUCCAUUAAAUAGCAAUAACAACUUUGGACUAAUUGUGUAAAUUGUGGUUGCAUACUAUACUUUUUAUGCAACGUUAGUAAAUACUGAAGGGAAAUUGUCUAGAGAUAAAUGGAACUGAGGAUACAGCUGCAACUAGUUCAAGCCGAAACUACUAAGAUGAGAAAAAAAAUAGUGACAUUCCUUAACAACAAAAAUAUUAUUAGGGUAUAAUGGGUCUAAAUCCUAACCCAUCCCACCCUAUUGCUCUUAAAUAUUUUUUUAAAACAGAUUUCCACUGUGAUUUGGGCAUACUAGACAUUGUUACUGUGUCUGAAAUGGUUAUGUUUAUACCAGCAAUUAUUUUGUCUUAUCUUGAAAGUGCACUACUUUAAUUUAUCUUGCAUUCUAAAAGUGACGUGGAAAGGAGUUCACACUUUCUCCCCGUACUUGUGUUUAUGUGUGUGUAUGUUUUUUUGUUUAUUUUUUUUUACAUACUCUGGCUUAGUCCCACAUUCCAAAAGCUGCUUCUUAGGUUAAUUGAAGACAACAUUUUCCUUAAGUCUAAAUAUGAGUGUGAAUGCUUGUUUGUCUUCAUGUGCCCUGCGAUUGGCUAGCGACAUGCGGUCCAGGGAGAAAGUACUUUAACCAUGCCUUUCGCCCAAAGUCAGCUGGGAUCGUGAGAGAUAAUCAGUAAAAAAUAAAAAGAUUUUAAAAAUGGAUGGACAGAUGGUAUGAACUGCGGUUCACAACUUAUUUGUUUUACUAAAAUUUUAGCAGGAAACAAAAUUCCCUCAUUUAUUUCGAUCUUUUUUUUCCUGUGAAACUAGGAUUUUUUUAUACACUACUUUGUAUAUGUUGUUAAAGGAUCUGGGCUUUGUAAUGAUUCCUCUGGUGAAGACGACUUCAGUUAAGUGUUGUAUUCAUCUCAGGGAGAUGUAAUGUACUCAAAGUAGCUGCUGAAGUGAAGUGGUUAGAUUUUAAAACCUCUCAUUCCACUAAAGAGACUUGUAGCAUGUGCUGAUAAAAGUGUUUAGUGGAUCAACCAACUACCGUAAUUUCUGGCGCAUAACACACUCUCGAGUAUAGUGUGCACCCCCAAAAUUGACCCCAUAAAUCAGGAAAACCCUUCUAAAUAUGUAUAAUGCGCAACAUCGAUUCGCUGCUUUCCAUAUGCUCAAAACAUCAAGUAUUAUUCAUAUUUUACUAGGUUUUUCAAAGAAAUAUUCUGCUUUGUGUGCAUCCGCUAAAGUAAUUCUGUUGUUGUUGUUGUUGUUGUUUUUUUUAUCCCGUGCCGGGACAGGCCAUGUGUAAUGUAAAAAAGCUUACCCUUGCUUAACAUUACAGAACUGCAACCAAAGUGUAUUUGGACAUCUCUAAUUAUGCCCCCUUCCCCAACUGAAAAUAUCAGAACAAAAUCUGUCAUAUUUUUUCUGGUUUGUAUUAUGGACAUUAAACGAUUUCCCCUUCAUAUGCGCUCACUACAGUAACUGCUGAAGGUACCUUAAUGUCACGAAACUGCCACCAUUCAUCACCAAAAUGGAUGGGGAUAUCUCUACCUAUGCCCACUUCAAACUCUAAAAACAUCACAAUGAAAUCCCGAAUAUUUUGGAUGUUAUGGAUUUUUAUAUCAAUAACAUGUCUGGGAAGAGGCCUUAUAUUGGAACGAAAGUAAAAAUUUCUCACAAUCUCUCGGUACCGCUAAAAAUGUAAACAAUGUGAAAUAAUUUUUUUCAUUUUCCUUAUAGCAUGUAUAUUGCACUCUGUUGACUUUUGAAAAAUUGGGGGGGAAAUAAAUGAGCAUUAUAAAUGACAAAUUAGGGUAACUAUAAACGCAUAAAAAAAGUAUUGAUAUUGUGGAGCGUUUUCCAGAGUAAUGUGGUAUAUGCUAUACUGGUAUGUACACAUACAGUCUGUAUGUGUGUGUGUGUGUGUGUGUGUGUAUGUGUGUGUUUUUUUUAACCUGUCCUGUUCAGCUGCAUGGCCAAGCAGUAUGCUGGAUCUGUAUGUCUUUUGUGCUUGAACAGCUUUCCUGUGCAACAAGGGAGUUUGAAGUAUCAUUUUUGUUUUUUGUUUUUUUUUAUUAUUCUGAUGUUUAUUGACAAUGCAGCCAGCCAGACAGAAAAGGGUUUUAGGGGACAGACCGAGGGACAGAACGGACACGGGGAAUAGGGGUGUGAACCACAGCAGAACAAUAGUUAGACAGUCUAGAUAUCUGACGACAACUAACGUUACAAAGUCAAAAUCGUGUUCUUAUUUGUGGACGGGGGACACACCCAUUGAGGACAUGCAACAACUGACCAAUAAGAGAAGAUGAGAGCUUAUGUAGCAUUUGUCCUAUACAAGUCAUUAAUGUCAAUAAUUUGAUUCAAUAUGUUGUCACUUUGGAAUUUAUUUUACAAUAUAAGGCAUUUCUUUAACUGUCAUUCAAGGUGCAGUAUGAACUGCAGAGGUGUGUGGGGUAAAAAUGUAUCUUUUACUCAUCUGUUUAAGCAUUUUAUUUUGCAAGAUCACAUGUACUGGCAGCUGAAAUCAUUUAAAGCUGAAUUUGUAAAGCAGGGGUAAAGAAAAAAAGUCUAAUGAUGGCUAAACCAGUCACCAAUUAGAUGCUCUUGUCGGCAAUACGAGCUAAACUAUAGAACUGUUUUCAUAUUGCAAAUAAAAAGUGCAUGUGUGAUUUAAGUUAUUGCUAUUUGGAAAAACGAAAUGUGUGAUUUACUUUGCUCAUUCAGAGGAAGAACUGCUUUUGAUUAUUAGGUAUUAUUCAAUCAUCACUCACCGUCCACAUCCCGCUAGCCCCCCUGUGCUAUGGGUAACGUGCUUCAUUAUGUCAGAGAAAUACAAAAUAAAAGACACGUGCAACUCUA
This is an RNA transcript of Phyllopteryx taeniolatus (common seadragon), 7201 nucleotides long. It is a transcript of the gene named zinc finger, matrin-type 4a, with no coding region annotated. NCBI's taxonomy places the organism in Eukaryota, Metazoa, Chordata, Actinopteri, Syngnathiformes, Syngnathidae. The record is from RefSeq and is a predicted model, not a curated record. The transcript has 7 exons.